Long non-coding RNA from Oncorhynchus tshawytscha (Chinook salmon), 795 nucleotides. RefSeq lists it as uncharacterized. The record is from RefSeq and is a predicted model, not a curated record. NCBI's taxonomy places the organism in Eukaryota, Metazoa, Chordata, Actinopteri, Salmoniformes, Salmonidae. The transcript has 3 exons.
GGUAUUUAUUUAGUACAUUUUAAUUUUUCAAGCAAAGUAUAAAGGAGUUGUACUCCAGUCUAGUAGGUGGCGGCAAUGCAACAAAUUUGAUCGAUACGUGCUACUGGUUUAGACCUCACGUAUUUACCAAGCUGUACAUCGACAUUUUCAAGAUCAUUUCCAUGGUACCCAGACUUUCAAGCAUUGGCCCAUUGACUGUAUGCUGUUCAAGCUGAAAGGCUUUUCAAUGAAGGCCAUGAAGCAUACAUGAGGACAGGGCCCCACUAUGACUUUGACCAUUACAGACAGCUGGUGGACGAGAACGCAAGCUUUUUGUGGCCUCUUGAAGGUGUUGGAGAUCAAGGAGCGGCUGCACCAGGACUUUACCUGUCCAGAGCUUUCUGGACACUUAGACAAGCUGCAGAGUAAAGAGAAGCAGAAGCUUUGAGCUGGUCAACAGGGGCUGAAGUCCAAACAUUUUAUUUUUACCCCCUCAGCCCUUGCGCUAGCUACUUUCCUUCGGGGAAUCCCUGUUGAAACCGGAUGCAGUUUGAUUGUCAUCUUAAGUGGUUCAAUUCACUAACGUUUCCCCUCAGCCCUUGAUUUAGCUCAAGGGAGCAAGUGAACAACUUUGGUCACUAGUGGUAUUUCUAUGACCUACAAUGCAAACUGUAGUCAUGUCAAACUCUGGUGACUGUGGAGUGUCACAUUGAAUCUACAAGGCCGCAUUUUUGGCACGUCAGAAAAAAGUACAGUGGGGCAAAAAAGUAUUUAGUCAGCCACCAAUUGUGCAAGUUCUCCCACUUAAAAAGAUGA